ACAUGUAGGUAUCUGCCCUUUGGCCUGGAAUAACACGAGGAAACUUGUGCUAAUACCGGAUAAGUCUUUACGGAGAAAGCUUUAUGCACCAUUGGAUGAGCCUGCACUUGAUUAGUUUGUUGGUGGGGUAAUGGCCUACCAAGACUGUGAUCAAUAGCUGAUUUGAGAGGAUGAUCAGCCACAUUGGGACUGAGACACGGCCCAAACUCCUACGGGAGGCAGCAGUGGGGAAUCUUGCACAAUGGAGGAAACUCUGAUGCAGCGAUGCCGCGUGAGUGAAGAAGGCCCUAGGGUUGUAAAGCUCUUUCGUCGGGGAAGAAAAUGACUGUACCCGAAUAAGAAG
This 343-nucleotide ribosomal RNA is filed under the name uncultured bacterium. RNAcentral's name for it is "bacterial SSU rRNA". It matches the Rfam family "Bacterial small subunit ribosomal RNA", at positions 113 to 490 of the family's 1533-position model. The record is from RNAcentral.